UACGUAGGUGGCAAGCGUUGUCCGGAUUUACUGGGCGUAAAGAGCGCGCAGGCGGUCGUGCAAGUCGCGUGUGAAAGCCCCCGGCUCAACUGGGGAGGGUCACGCGAUACUGCUCGACUCGAAGGCAGGAGAGGGAAGUGGAAUUCCCGGUGUAGUGGUGAAAUGCGUAGAUAUCUGGAGGAAUACCGGUGGCGAAGGCGGCGUUCUGGACUGCAACUGACACUGAUGAACGAAAGCCAGGGGAGCAAACGGG
This 253-nucleotide ribosomal RNA is filed under the name uncultured bacterium. RNAcentral describes it as "partial 16S ribosomal RNA". It matches the Rfam family "Bacterial small subunit ribosomal RNA", at positions 524 to 776 of the family's 1533-position model. The record is from RNAcentral.